This 72-nucleotide transfer RNA is filed under the name Parcubacteria group bacterium QH_9_35_7. RNAcentral describes it as "tRNA-Arg". It matches the Rfam family "tRNA". From Rfam's summary of the family: Transfer RNA (tRNA) molecules are approximately 80 nucleotides in length. Their secondary structure includes four short double-helical elements and three loops (D, anti-codon, and T loops). The record is from RNAcentral.
GCUCCCGUAGUUUAAUGGAUAAAACAAAAGCUUCCUAAGCUUUAGAUGCACGUUCGACUCGUGCCGGGAGCA